RNAcentral lists this ribosomal RNA (313 nucleotides) under uncultured Avachytrium. Its description in RNAcentral is "partial large subunit ribosomal RNA". It matches the Rfam family "Eukaryotic large subunit ribosomal RNA", at positions 40 to 350 of the family's 3401-position model. The record is from RNAcentral. Lineage: Eukaryota; Fungi; Chytridiomycota; Chytridiomycetes; Chytridiales; Chytriomycetaceae.
AUAUCAAUAAGCGGGGGAAAAGAAACUAACAAGGAUUCCCCUAGUAACGGCGAGUGAGGCGGGAAAAGCUCAAAUUUAAAAUCUCCUAGGUUUCCUAGGCGAAUUGUAGUUUCAAGAAGCGUUUUCUGAGAUGGCCUCGGUCCAAGUCUGCUGGAAGGCAGCGCCAUAGAGGGUGAUAGCCCCGUAGGAUCCUGAACCAUUUCUCUAUGAUUGCGUCUUCGAAGAGUCGUACAGUUUGAGAAUGCUGUGCUAAAUGGGAGGUAAAUAUCUUCUAAAGCUAAAUAAUUGGCGUGAGACCGAUAGCGCACAAGUA